RNAcentral lists this unclassified non-coding RNA (201 nucleotides) under uncultured fungus. Its description in RNAcentral is "sequence contains ITS1, 5.8S rRNA gene". The stretch from base 153 to 201 matches the Rfam family "5.8S ribosomal RNA", at positions 1 to 49 of the family's 154-position model. Lineage: Eukaryota; Fungi. The record is from RNAcentral.
UUUCCGUAGGUGAACCUGCGGAAGGAUCAUUAUAGAGAAAUGUGUGAUUGAGGUGGAUCCUUUGGGAGACAUCUCGUCAUGCUCAUACACACCUCUGUGCACCGUUAUCACACACUUUGAGUCUAUUGAACGUGAACUAUGAUAAUCAAUAAAACUUUCAACAACGGAUCUCUUGGCUCUCGCAUCGAUGAAGAACGCAGC